GAUGACGUCCCAUUUUUCCUCUUUAGCUAACAUGUAAUUUGAUCAAUUAUUUUGGUUUUGCAAAAAAAUAAAUUAAUCAAUCACCAAAUAAAUAAUGACACGUGGUGCACCAACUAAAGUAUGAAAGGAAAAUAAACAUCAACAUAUUUAAAAAGAAUAAUAAAAAAAGGAAAUAAAAGCAAAUCAAUAACUUAGUAUAUCCUCUCUCACCCUAUUCAUUCGGUCCACCUUCCCCUUCUUUACACAUGUCAUUUAUGGUUUUUUAAUAUUGAAAUAAAAUGACCAUUAAUGUAGUGCCUUUCAAAAAACCGAAAAAAUAAGUAAAUACACAAAAUGCAUAUUCUCUUUUUAUCCAAUUC
Molecule: long non-coding RNA, 359 nt
Filed under: Lathyrus oleraceus (garden pea)
Lineage: Eukaryota; Viridiplantae; Streptophyta; Magnoliopsida; Fabales; Fabaceae
Description: Pisum sativum (pea) long non-coding RNA (PSAT_LNC040864)
Source: RNAcentral